This is a non-coding RNA of Arachis ipaensis, 283 nucleotides long. The record is from RefSeq and is a predicted model, not a curated record. NCBI's taxonomy places the organism in Eukaryota, Viridiplantae, Streptophyta, Magnoliopsida, Fabales, Fabaceae.
GAAAUUGAGAAGUAUUAAAGAUAACCUGAGGGAAAUUAGAGCUCUGAGCCCAAACACUGCCGUCUUGGCCGACGAUUGCGGCGGAGGAGAGGUGGUUGCCUUCAAUUUCGCAGAGAAGGUGGUCAUCGACGUAGGUUUGCCACGACGGCAAGCGUAGAGACGACGGCAAGCGGUGAUCCGACGGCGAACUGCUCCAAGCCACGAACAGAGAAGCCAGCGAGGAUGGGGACGACGUGCCGAGCUACCUGGGUUCCGGACAGGGGAAGAGGAAGAAGCGGAAGCG